This 253-nucleotide ribosomal RNA is filed under the name uncultured bacterium. RNAcentral describes it as "partial 16S ribosomal RNA". It matches the Rfam family "Bacterial small subunit ribosomal RNA", at positions 524 to 776 of the family's 1533-position model. The record is from RNAcentral.
UACGUAGGGGGCAAGCGUUGUCCGGAUUUAUUGGGCGUAAAGCGCUCGCAGGUGGUCCGUCGCGUCGUGCGUGAAAGACCCCGGCUCAACUGGGGAGGGUCGUGCGAUACGGGCGGACUGGAGGCCAGUAGGGGGAUGCGGAAUUCCGGGUGUAGUGGUGGAAUGCGUAGAGAUCCGGAGGAACACCAGCGGCGAAGGCGGCAUCCUGGACUGGUCCUGACGCUGAGGCGCGAAAGCUAGGGGAGCAAACGGG